This 240-nucleotide unclassified non-coding RNA is filed under the name soil metagenome. RNAcentral describes it as "partial contains 5.8S ribosomal RNA, internal transcribed spacer 2, and large subunit ribosomal RNA". The record is from RNAcentral.
AAGACUAUAGACCUGCGGAGUACCUGCGGAGGGAUCAUUACCGAGUUUUCAACUCCCUAACCCUUCUGUGAACCUACCUAUCGUUGCUUCGGCGGACUCGCCCCAGCCCGGACGCGGACUGGACCAGCGGCCCGCCGGGGACCUCAAACUCUUGUAUUCCAGCAUCUUCUGAAUACGCCGCAAGGCAAAACAGAUGAAUCAAAACUUUCAACAACGGAUCUCUAGAUCGGAAGAGCACAC